Molecule: long non-coding RNA, 3244 nt
Organism: Scylla paramamosain (green mud crab)
Lineage: Eukaryota; Metazoa; Arthropoda; Malacostraca; Decapoda; Portunidae
Exons: 2
Source: RefSeq, a predicted model, not a curated record
ACGAAGAAAUGUGAAAAAGAUAUGUGAAGAAAAUCAUUAAAUAAAAAACGCUAAAAAGAUAAAAAAAAAAAAAAAAAAAAAAAAUUUUAUAAUAAAAUUAUGUAUAUAAGUGUGAAAACCGUAGCUUGUUCAAGAGGAUGAAAUAAAGAAAAAAAAAAAAGAGAAUAUAUGUUCCUGAAUAUAUGUAUAUAGUGUGUGUAAAAAAAAGAAACUUGAAGAAUAAAGAAAAAAAUAAAAUAAAAAACAUCUUUCCCGACUGUUAACUUGGUGUACUCUUCAGGAAUAACAUAGCCAGUGCGAGUCAGGGGAAUUGGAGGAGCUUGUUGAGCGUCCUGUCGUCACUGCCGCACGUAGCGGCUCGUAGUAGAUGUGGACGGCACAUGAGCCAGUGAAUGUUCAUCCACUUUUGACAAAACGUUAGCCACCAAAGCACGAGAAGAUUCUUGAAUAGAAGUAGCAUCAUCUUUCAGCUCGCCCAUGGCCUCCCUCGCCUUCACAGCCGCAGCAGUCGUGGAAUGAUUGUGCCCGUUCGCACUUUCACGAUAGUGAAGGUUUCAUCCCCUACUGUUGUGUGAACACGAGCCUUGCAUGCAGUAGCCUCACAUCGCCAGUAUUGCUUGGUUCCAUCGGCGUUUUUCUUCUGUGCAGCGUAGAUGAAGUUAAGAUCAUCAACAAGCUUUUCCCUGCCACGGCUUGAUAGGAUUGUGUGCGGCAUGUUGCUCUGACUGUGGUGGCCCACGUACUGAAGAGUGAAAAUAGAAAACCGAACCAGUGAACGCUAGUCAAGCUAACAACCUGAUGUAUCAAAUCAUGAUUCGAACAACACACUCACACAACAUCACACACACACACACACACACACAUUGAUGGUCGGAUCUUGUCGUAGUAAUGGAGUUUCGUAACUAACGCGACAAAAAUACAGCCAAGGGAACGAAUCACCCUAGGGGACAAAUAACCCUAGGGUUCCAAUCCUCCAGGGAUGAAUACCCCGGGGAUGAAGCAACCGGGACAUUUCACCCGGGGACGAAUCACCCUAGAACCAGUAGUAGUAGUAGUAGUAGUAGUAGUAGUGAUGGUGGUGGUGAUGGUAAUAUUGAUAAUAGUAGUAGUAGUAGUAGUAGUAGUAGUGAUGGUGGUGGUGGUAGUAAUAUUGAUAUUAAUAGUGUAGUAGUAGUAGUAGUAGUAGUAGUAGUAGUAGUAGUAAUGGUGGUGAUGAUGGUGUUAGUAAUAUCGGUAGUAGUAGUAGUAGUAGUAGUAGCAGUAAUAGUAGUAGUAGUAGCAGCAGCAGCAGCAUAUGUUUGUUAAUGGAAUCGGCAGCGAUAAGGUCAUCUCCCCCAUCCUAACAAAAUAAUACAACGGUAAUCGGUAAUAAAUCAUCAAUGGAGUUUCACAUUACAAUAACCUGUAACAUGGAAUCAUAAAUAUUCCUCAUAUCACAUCAUUAAGUCGUUACUAAUAACAAAAACUUAACUAUUGUAAUAUACAAUUAUAUAUAACACAAAAAUAAAACGAACAUUCCCCGUAACAUUUCAUAAACCACAAUACAAAAAUAACAAGCCUGAGUGCCCAGUUCUCUUGCAGUGCUUUUAUUUAUUGUUUUUUUUUUUUCUGUAGUGUUAUUAAUCCCCAACCUAUGUUCGUGCGCCCCUAUGCACUGUUUUGUAACCAACCUUUCUUUAAUAAACUGUUAAACUGCGACUGAUGUACAGGCACAGUACAAGGUUUUCGGUACAGGUCAGAGUACGUUUCAGAAAAGAUGGGAUUGCUAUUUUUGCUGUUCGAACUUUCAUAGGUUUCGAGACGUGAGCUCGAGGCGAUGAAGGGUCGAGCUUGAGGGACUUCCCAUUUUUCAUUGUGUGUGUGUCGUGGUGGCGAGGAGCGGUGGUGUAGCUUCCUUUGACUCCUCCUGCUCCUCCUUUCUUUUCCCCCUUUAGUCUUUUUUAACGCUUGUCCUCGUGUCCCUCUUCCUCCUCGUUGCCUUUCCAUCGUUAUCGUUAUCAUCAUCCUCGCCCUCUCCGCCGGCCUUGUGUUCCUCACCUUACAUCUGCAGAUGGGGCUCACCCUCCUCUUCCUUUUCUGCUGCUUCAACGCUUCUCGAUUUUAGUUUUCUUUCUCCUCGUUCUCAUCUUUUAUCUUGUCCUCCACCACUCCUCUCCACACGAACAAGGACACACACACGCCACACUGUCACUGUCGAUCCGGUGUCAUUGCAACGUCUUGUUCAGGAAACCGGAACAAGGAGACAUGAAAGUUGGCGGUGCGUGUGGCUGUGGUGAGCGGCGGCGGCGGCGACGGCGGUGGCGGCGACGACGACGACGACGACGACGACGUGUGGCGUGGCGAGCGGGUUUCUGCAGUAUCCCUCUCCUUCCCGUUUUCUGUUAUUCCCCGUUCUCUUCCUCCGCCUCGUGUACUGCUACUCGCUCUUGUACGGUGACUUUUUUUUUUUUCCUUCGUUACAAUAUUUUGUCUGUUUUCUCUUUUCUUUUCUUCUCGUGCUUUUUAUUCACAUUAUUAUUUCUUAUUCUAUUUUGUUUAUUUUGUGUGUUUGUACGUGUGUAUUUUCCUCUUCCACAUUUUAUUUGGAUUUUCUUAAUUUUUCUCGUAUUUUUCUAUUCUCCUAUUCUUCCUUGUAUCACACACACACACACACACACACACCGCGUAGUGUAGUGGUUGUUAGCACGCUCGGCUCACAACCAAGAAGGCCUGGGUUCGAAUCCCGGGAGCGACGAGGCAAAUGGGUGAGCCUCUUAAUGUGUAGCCCCUGUUCACCUAGUAGCAAGUAGGUAAGGGAUGUAACCCGAGGGGUUGUGACCUCGCUGUUUCGGUGUGUGGUCACACACACACACACACACACACACUUCAUCGUCUCUUACUACCGAUGCCGUUGCUAUGACAAGUAUUUUAUAUUAAAUGAAUUUAUUAUUUAUUAAUUUAUUCGCUUAUUAUUAUUAUUAUUAUUAUUAUUAUUAUUAUUAUUAAAUAAUUUGCAUAUUUAUUUAUCUACAUAUAUUAUUUAUCUACAUAUAUUAUUUUUAUUUUAUUAUUAUUAUUAUUAUUUAUUUUAUUUAUUUAUUUUUUAUUUUUGUGUGUGUGUCGGGGAUGAGUUUUACAGCUCUCAUCGCAAGUUGUAUUAAAAUUCAAUAGCCACAUUUGCUCGCUCGUGUAUAUAUUGUUUAGUGUUAUCAGCGGUUCUUAAGAAACAGGAUUUUAAGAGAUUAUAAACUUUACGUGAUAUUAA